CACCCCUCAAAUUCCAUUUGAUGUUGGGCGACGCCCGCCGCGGCCAGCCUUAAAGCGAAUGACGGUUCCCAACCAACCUCGGGCGUACAAGUAUCGCGACGGGGGAGGAUCGGGGGCCUGUCCCACACAGCUUCUAAA
RNAcentral lists this unclassified non-coding RNA (138 nucleotides) under uncultured Ascomycota. RNAcentral describes it as "sequence contains ITS2". The record is from RNAcentral. Lineage: Eukaryota; Fungi; Ascomycota.